ACUCAAAUGAAUAGACGGGGGCCCGCACAAGCGGUGGAGCAUGUGGUUUAAUUCGACGCAACGCGAAGAACCUUACCUGGGCUUGAACUGUGGAUGACCAGUCACGAAAGUGGCCUCCCGCAAGGGCGUCUGCAGAGGUGCUGCAUGGCUGUCGUCAGCUCGUGUCGUGAGAUGUUGGGUUAAGUCCCGCAACGAGCGCAACCCUUGUUCGCUGUUGCCAUCAGGUAAUGCUGGGCACUCUGCGAAGACUGCCGGUGACAAACCGGAGGAAGGUGGGGAUGACGUCAAGUCAGCAUGGCCUUUAUGUCCAGGGCCACACACGUGCUACAAUGGCCGGUACAAACCGUCGCGAUCCCGCGAGGGGGAGCUAAUCGGAGAAAGCCGGUCUCAGUUCGGAUUGUAGGCUGCAACUCGCCUGCAUGAAGUCGGAAUCGCUAGUAAUCGCGGAUCAGCACGCCGCGGUGAAUACGUUCCCGGGCCUUGUACACACCGCCCGU
This 497-nucleotide ribosomal RNA is filed under the name uncultured bacterium. RNAcentral describes it as "partial 16S ribosomal RNA". It matches the Rfam family "Bacterial small subunit ribosomal RNA", at positions 899 to 1397 of the family's 1533-position model. The record is from RNAcentral.